ACCGGAACACAGGUGCUGCAUGGCUGUCGUCAGCUCGUGUCGUGAGAUGUUGGGUUAAGUCCCGCAACGAGCGCAACCCUUGUCAUUAGUUGCCAUCAUUUGGUUGGGCACUCUAAUGAGACUGCCGGUGACAAACCGGAGGAAGGUGGGGAUGACGUCAAGUCCUCAUGGCCCUUAUGGGUAGGGCUUCACACGUCAUACAAUGGUCGGUACAGAGGGUUGCCAACCCGCGAGGGGGAGCUAAUCCCACAAAGCCGAUCGUAGUCCGGAUCGCAGUCUGCAACUCGACUACGUGAAGUCGGAAUCGCUAGUAAUCGCAGGUCAGCAUACUGCGGUGAAUACGUUCCCGGGUCUU
Molecule: ribosomal RNA, 355 nt
Filed under: uncultured Thauera sp.
Lineage: Bacteria; Pseudomonadati; Pseudomonadota; Betaproteobacteria; Rhodocyclales; Zoogloeaceae
Description: bacterial SSU rRNA
Rfam family: Bacterial small subunit ribosomal RNA
Source: RNAcentral